GACGAACGCUGGCGGCGUGCCUAAUACAUGCAAGUCGAACGAGAGCGCCCGGUGCUUGCACUGGUCAAUCUAGUGGCGAACGGGUGAGUAACACGUGGGUAGCCUGCCCAUCAGAGGGGGAUAACAUCCGGAAACGGAUGCUAAAACCGCAUAGGUCUUCGAGCCGCAUGGCUUGAAGAGGAAAAGAGGCGCAAGCUUCUGCUGAUGGAUGGACCCGCGGUGCAUUAGCUAGUUGGUGAGGUAACGGCUCACCAAGGCCGUGAUGCAUAGCCGACCUGAGAGGGUGAUCGGCCACAUUGGGACUGAGACACGGCCCAAACUCCUACGGGAGGCAGCAGUAGGGAAUCUUCCGCAAUGGACGCAAGUCUGACGGAGCAACGCCGCGUGAGUGAAGAAGGUGUUCGGAUCGUAAAACUCUGUUGUUAGAGAAGAACAAGUGCUAGAGUAACUGUUAGCGCCUUGACGGUAUCUAACCAGAAAGCCACGGCUAACUACGUG
Molecule: ribosomal RNA, 498 nt
Filed under: uncultured bacterium
Lineage: Bacteria
Description: partial 16S ribosomal RNA
Rfam family: Bacterial small subunit ribosomal RNA
Source: RNAcentral